Molecule: ribosomal RNA, 479 nt
Filed under: uncultured organism
Description: partial 16S ribosomal RNA
Rfam family: Bacterial small subunit ribosomal RNA
Source: RNAcentral
CGUACACUCCUACGGAGGCAGCAGUGGGGAAUUUUGGACAAUGGGCGAAAGCCUGAUCCAGCCAUGCCGCGUGCAGGAUGAAGGCCUUCGGGUUGUAAACUGCUUUUGUACGGAACGAAACGGCCUUUUCUAAUAAAGAGGGCUAAUGACGGUACCGUAAGAAUAAGCACCGGCUAACUACGUGCCAGCAGCCGCGGUAAUACGUAGGGUGCAAGCGUUAAUCGGAAUUACUGGGCGUAAAGCGUGCGCAGGCGGUUAUGUAAGACAGUUGUGAAAUCCCCGGGCUCAACCUGGGAACUGCAUCGGUGACUGCAUAGCUAGAGUACGGUAGAGGGGGAUGGAAUUCCGCGUGUAGCAGUGAAAUGCGUAGAUAUGCGGAGGAACACCGAUGGCGAAGGCAAUCCCCUGGACCUGUACUGACGCUCAUGCACGAAAGCGUGGGGAGCAAACAGGAUUAGAUACCCUAGUAGUCCCAUGAU